RNAcentral lists this ribosomal RNA (541 nucleotides) under Venitus latreillei. Its description in RNAcentral is "LSU rRNA". It matches the Rfam family "Archaeal large subunit ribosomal RNA", at positions 1965 to 2707 of the family's 2987-position model. Lineage: Eukaryota; Metazoa; Arthropoda; Malacostraca; Decapoda; Macrophthalmidae. The record is from RNAcentral.
UGCAAGAAACUGACUCUGAGUGCCACUGAGUUGUUUAAGGGCCGCGGUAUUUUGACCGUGCGAAGGUAGCGUAAUCAUUAGGUUUUUAAUUGAAAUCUUGUAUGAAUGGUUAGACAAGAGAAAAUCUGUCUCUUUAUUAAAAAUUGAAUUUAACUUUUAAGUGAAAAGGCUUAAAUAAAUUAAAGGGACGAUAAGACCCUAUAAAGCUUAAUAUAAAAUAUUAUUUAGUCGAACUUUGAGUAAAGAUUUUAGAGUAUGUUUUAUUUUAUUGGGGUGAUAAAAGUAAAAUGUUUAUUAACUGCUUUCGUGAGAAAACAAUUAUAAUUGGAAUAAAUUUAUAAAAGAUCCUGAGUAGAGAUUAAAAGUUUAAGUUACUUUAGGGAUAACAGCGUUAUUUUUUUUGAGAGUACAUAUCGAAAAAAGAGUUUGCGACCUCGAUGUUGAAUUAAAAUUUCUUUAUACAAGCAGAAACUAUUAAAGUUGGUCUGUUCUACCUUUAUAAAUAUACGUGAGCUGAGUUCAGACCGGCGAAACUUUCCUC